GAUGAACGCUGGCGGCGUGCCUAAUACAUGCAAGUCGAGCGAACGGACGAGAAGCUUGCUUCUCUGAUGUUAGCGGCGGACGGGUGAGUAACACGUGGAUAACCUACCUAUAAGACUGGGAUAACUUCGGGAAACCGGAGCUAAUACCGGAUAAUAUUUUGAACCGCAUGGUUCAAAAGUGAAAGACGGUCUUGCUGUCACUUAUAGAUGGAUCCGCGCUGCAUUAGCUAGUUGGUAAGGUAACGGCUUACCAAGGCAACGAUGCAUAGCCGACCUGAGAGGGUGAUCGGCCACACUGGAACUGAGACACGGUCCAGACUCCUACGGGAGGCAGCAGUAGGGAAUCUUCCGCAAAGGGCGAAAGCCUGACCGAGCAACGCCGCGUGAGUGAUGAAGGUCUUCGGAUCGUAAAACUCUGUUAUUAGGGAAGAACAUAUGUGUAAGUAACUGUGCACAUCUUGACGGUACCUAAUCAGAAAGCCACGGCUAACUACGUG
This 497-nucleotide ribosomal RNA is filed under the name uncultured bacterium. RNAcentral's name for it is "partial 16S ribosomal RNA". It matches the Rfam family "Bacterial small subunit ribosomal RNA", at positions 28 to 507 of the family's 1533-position model. The record is from RNAcentral.